RNAcentral lists this ribosomal RNA (522 nucleotides) under uncultured bacterium. RNAcentral describes it as "partial 16S ribosomal RNA". It matches the Rfam family "Bacterial small subunit ribosomal RNA", at positions 355 to 866 of the family's 1533-position model. The record is from RNAcentral.
UGGGGAAUUUUGGACAAUGGGCGAAAGCCUGAUCCAGCAAUGCCGCGUGCAGGAUGAAGGCCUUCGGGUUGUAAACUGCUUUUGUACGGAACGAAAAAGCUUCUCCUAAUACGAGAGGCCCAUGACGGUACCGUAAGAAUAAGCACCGGCUAACUACGUGCCAGCAGCCGCGGUAAUACGUAGGGUGCGAGCGUUAAUCGGAAUUACUGGGCGUAAAGCGUGCGCAGGCGGUUAUGUAAGACAGAUGUGAAAUCCCCGGGCUCAACCUGGGAACUGCAUUUGUAACUGCAUGGCUAGAGUACGGUAGAGGGGGGAUGGAAUUCCGCGUNUAGCAGUGAAAUGCGUAGAUAUGCGGAGGAACACCGAUGGCGAAGGCAAUCCCCUGGACCUGUACUGACGCUCAUGCACGAAAGCGUGGGGAGCAAACAGGAUUAGAUACCCCUGGUAGUCCACGCCCUAAACGAUGUCAACUGGCUUGUUGGGGAAUUAGUUUUCUCAGUAACGAAGCUAACGCGUGAAGUU